AUUGAACGCUGGCGGCAUGCUUUACACAUGCCAGUCAAACGGUAACAGGCCGCAAGGUGCUGACGAGUGGCGGACGGGUGAGUAAUGCAUCGGAACGUGCCCAGUCGUGGGGGAUAACUACUCGAAAGAGUAGCUAAUACCGCAUACGAUCUAUGGAUGAAAGCGGGGGACCGUAAGGCCUCGCGCGAUUGGAGCGGCCGAUGUCAGAUUAGGUAGUUGGUGGGGUAAAGGCUCACCAAGCCAACGAUCUGUAGCUGGUCUGAGAGGACGACCAGCCACACUGGGACUGAGACACGGCCCAGACUCCUACGGGAGGCAGCAGUGGGGAAUUUUGGACAAUGGGCGCAAGCCUGAUCCAGCAAUGCCGCGUGCAGGAAGAAGGCCUUCGGGUUGUAAACUGCUUUUGUACGGAACGAAACGGCUCUGGUUAAUACCCGGGGCUAAUGACGGCACCGUAAGAAUAAGCACCGGCUAACUACGUGC
Molecule: ribosomal RNA, 483 nt
Filed under: uncultured bacterium
Lineage: Bacteria
Description: partial 16S ribosomal RNA
Rfam family: Bacterial small subunit ribosomal RNA
Source: RNAcentral